GUGCUCGCUUCGGCAGCACAUACACUAAAAUUGGAACGAUACAGAGAAGGUUAGCAUGG
Molecule: small nuclear RNA, 59 nt
Filed under: Nannospalax galili (Upper Galilee mountains blind mole rat)
Lineage: Eukaryota; Metazoa; Chordata; Mammalia; Rodentia; Spalacidae
Source: RNAcentral